Elaeis guineensis (African oil palm) is the source of this 85-nucleotide small nucleolar RNA. The record is from RefSeq and is a predicted model, not a curated record. NCBI's taxonomy places the organism in Eukaryota, Viridiplantae, Streptophyta, Magnoliopsida, Arecales, Arecaceae.
UGGCAAUGGAUAUAACCUACCUGCAAUUCUGAUAACCAUGCAUGAAGCGUAUGACAAGAAUUGUUGAAUUCCUUGAUAUAAGCUG